GGGGCUAUAGCUCAGCUGGAAGAGCACCUGCUUUGCAAGCAGGGGGUCAGGAGUUCGAGUCUCCUUAGCUCCA
This 73-nucleotide transfer RNA is filed under the name Actinomycetota bacterium. RNAcentral's name for it is "Actinobacteria bacterium tRNA-Ala". It matches the Rfam family "tRNA". From Rfam's summary of the family: Transfer RNA (tRNA) molecules are approximately 80 nucleotides in length. Their secondary structure includes four short double-helical elements and three loops (D, anti-codon, and T loops). The record is from RNAcentral. Lineage: Bacteria; Bacillati; Actinomycetota. RNAcentral also lists the same sequence under 1 other name.